GAUGAAGAACGCAGCGAAAUGCGAUACGUAGUGUGAAUUGCAGAAUUCAGUGAAUCAUCGAAUCUUUGAACGCACAUUGCGCCCUCUGGUAUUCCGGGGGGCAUGCCUGUCCGAGCGUCAUUUGCAACCCUCAAGCCCGGCUUGUGUGAUGGGUGCCGUCCCCUACGGGACGCGCCCCGAAGGCAAUGGCGGCGUCGCGGUUAUCCGAUCAGCCAAAGUGUAUGGGGCUUUGUCACUCACUUUACGGCCCGGACCGGCGCCAGUCCGAAUCAAUCUUUUUUCUAAAGUUGACCUCGGAUCAGGUAGGGAUACCCGCUGAACUUAAGCAUAUCAAUAAGCGGAGGA
This 345-nucleotide unclassified non-coding RNA is filed under the name soil metagenome. RNAcentral's name for it is "partial contains 5.8S ribosomal RNA, internal transcribed spacer 2, and large subunit ribosomal RNA". The stretch from base 1 to 120 matches the Rfam family "5.8S ribosomal RNA", at positions 35 to 154 of the family's 154-position model. The record is from RNAcentral.